UAAGGAAUAUUGGUCAAUGGAGGCAACUCUGAACCAGCCAUGCCGCGUGCAGGAAGACGGCCCUCUGUGUUGUAAACUGCUUUUAUUCGGGAAUAAACCUAUCUACGUGUAGAUAGCUGAAUGUACCGAAGGAAUAAGGAUCGGCUAACUCCGUGCCAGCAGCCGCGGUAAUACGGAGGAUCCAAGCGUUAUCCGGAUUUAUUGGGUUUAAAGGGUGCGUAGGCGGCCUAUUAAGUCAGGGGUGAAAGACGGUAGCUCAACUAUCGCAGUGCCCUUGAUACUGAUGAGCUUGAGUGAACUAGAGGUAGGCGGAAUGUGACAAGUAGCGGUGAAAUGCAUAGAUAUGUCACAGAACACCGAUUGCGAAGGCAGCUUACUAUGGUUUUAUUGACGCUGAGGCACGAAAGCGUGGGGAUCAAACA
RNAcentral lists this ribosomal RNA (422 nucleotides) under uncultured bacterium. RNAcentral's name for it is "bacterial SSU rRNA". It matches the Rfam family "Bacterial small subunit ribosomal RNA", at positions 355 to 774 of the family's 1533-position model. The record is from RNAcentral.